RNAcentral lists this ribosomal RNA (912 nucleotides) under Triticum aestivum (bread wheat). RNAcentral describes it as "partial small subunit ribosomal RNA". The record is from RNAcentral. Lineage: Eukaryota; Viridiplantae; Streptophyta; Magnoliopsida; Poales; Poaceae.
AUGCUUUGUGUCGCCCCUCGCCUCGUCGGCUUCGACUCCGACCAGAUGCGCCCGAGGAGCUCCCCAAGCGAGCUCGCCCGCGGCCCCUGCGUUCCUCGCCGCCGUCGCGCCCCUUCCGUCAGCGCCGCGGCCUCGCCCUUUCUCCUCCUGCAUUGUGCGCCCCGCAAGCCACUAGGAGGCGUGCUCCUCGUGAGGCACAUGAGCUUCUUCAGUCUCGCCGGUUGCCUCCCCGCCACCUUCGCGCCCGGAUCCAUCCGGAUUGAGCCGGCCUGCCGCCACCAUCGCGCCUUCCGACGUCGUCCAGACCUUGCUGCCCCUUUUGUUGUUGCCAAUUUCCUCGAUCGAGGGACCCCAAGACCGCCAAGUCCCUGCUUCGCGCCCCUGUUGUGGUUAGCGCCAAGGCCAACAGUCACCGAGCAUGGAUUCGCCAUGUACAACUACGGACACCCAUGGAUUUCACCAAAUACCUCUACCGACGACGCCGAACAUCUACGGCCGUGUACCACUACUUCCUCUACCGAUGACUCGAAUGUCUACGACCCGUGUACCACUACUUCCUCUACCGACGACCCCGGACAUCUACGAAACGAACGUGUACGACUACCGUCGCCGUGUACGACUACUUCCACUACCGUCGUGAGAACAACUACUUCCACUACAUCACGAGAACGUCUACUUCCCUCUAUGAACUCGCUCUGCCCAGAAACGCUCGCUUCAAAGCUUCGGUUUCGUUCCGGAGUUGUGAGGAUUCGUUCGACUACGUCCGUUUGUCUUCUUCAUGGACUCGUUCUUCUUCCUAUCAGGAUUUCAGUUGCAGGUGCCGAUGAUACCAGUGCAGGUGAUGCAACCGAGCUCAGAUGGGAGCUCAACGAAGAUCUUAGUUGUUGCUAUGUUUCGUUUCAUGUUGAUUAG